AGGAGCCUGGUGGGCUCCAAUCUGUAGGGUCUCAGAGUGGGACACAACUGAGGUGACUUAGCAUGCAUUCAUACAUAGGAAUAUUUAUACUAUGGAAAUUGGCUAAUUCUAGUAGGGCUUUUCUUCCUCCCAUUUUCCCCUCCAUCUUUUCUUCACUCUCUACCCCUCUUUCUUCCUUCCUUCCUUUAUUUCUUUUCCCCUUAGGACAUGCAUACUACUGUUGAUUGAGGAGGAAAGGUAUUAAAUGCAGUUCUGUGUCUCACUGUAACAUGAGCUCAUUCUACGUGUCAUGUCAUAAGUCGUCCCAUACCCAACUAAUUCUGGCGAUUUAAGCUACAGUCUUUCACAGAUAUUGUGGCUGUUUACCUUUUAGAUGAUAAAAAUAAGAUUAAAUCUAAAUCUCCUGUGGGUUCCUUUUCUUCCCAGAGAAUAUAAAGCAGCUAAUAUCAGCAUCAACUUAUACGUCGUCAAUGAACCUUGGCUUUUCUCAUUGGUCUGGUGCUCCAGUAUUCACUCCGUGACCACAGACAACAUUAAAGUCCUGAAUGAGAUGAAUUACCCUUACUACUUCAUGACACCAAAUUUCUAUAUGUUCUUGUGGGUUUUCAUGGAUAUUCUUUCUGCAGUUUUCAUUGUUUCCAUAUUUUGUUUUCAUUGGUGGAGAGCGAGCCAGAGUGAAAAAAUUCGCCAGGGUAUCACCAGUUACACAGGUAAAAUCAGAGGCCUAGCCCCCUCUCAUCUCUUCAUCCUUCCCCAUUGCCUCCAUGAGGCAGGGCUUGCUUUUAAUAUUUCUGACAAGAGUUGAAGGGAGUCUGAAGUUACAGGGUGGAUACCACUAAGAAGCUGGGCAAAAACAGGCUGUGCACAGACUCUGAGGCCCUUGACGUCAGAUUACAUUGUGGACUUUAUCCUCUAAGCAGUGAGACUCCUUGGAAGAUUUUGAACAUGGUUGUAUGUUUGCUUGUCAUAUAUUCAUUCAUCACAUGAUUAUAAAAUACUGACUUUGUGCCAGGCAGUGUGAAACUGAAGUACCCGAAAGCUUUGUAUAUGGAAGGUGUCUCGAGAACAGAGGCUCUGUCCACAGAGAGCCAGUGAGGAAGCAGGAAAAGGUACAGCAGCCGUUGACAUCUCUGGUUCAGCUAUCUAGUUCCAGGACAGAGAAGCUGCCAUGCUCCUCAGGGCUGAAUGUGCUUUUUGUGGCUUCAGUUGUGAUGUAUGUUGGAAGGUGGAAGCAGAAAAUUGCCAAGAUCCUGGAAUGCUGGACUAGAGUCUAGACUCUGCAUAUAAACAUCAGGAAAUGGCAAGUGAGUUUCAGACAAGGGAGCAGUAUGCUUAGACACUUGUGUAAAGGGAUUGAAUAGCAGAAUAACUUAUUAAUCAGCAGAAUAACUCAGGACUGAGUAAGUGGGAUAGGUCCAGUAAGGGACCUAGAGUUUAGAGUUUAUUAUUCAGGAGGUUGUGGGGAUAAUCACACAGUGAGUUACUGGCUUGGGAAGCCAGUGCAAUGUUAAAGGGAAAACCAGUUAGGAGGCAGAAGACUAUGCAGUCCAUGAUACAGUUUCCUCCCAUUGCUCUUGGAGUCUUUAAGUAAAGUUGAUAAUAGUCAAAAAUGAUUAAUUAAUUUCUUGUGAACAGUUGUGAAGAUGAUGAGAUACUUUGUAUUAACCAUCAGUCUUCAAGAUAUACAUUACUUAGACUUUCAAGAAUGUAUCCACAGUGACUAUGAAAAAAUAAGAAAUUUGAAGGGUAAUGGCUUUUUGCAUUGUAAAACUUUCGUAUUGCAAAAUCACCCAAAUUUGUUAAGAUAUAGAGUAGUCUCCAGUGACUCUGAGUUUUGUGGAUUUUAGAAAGGUCACUCUGUGGGCUGUUAAGGAGACUGAAGGCUGUGUUCCAGCUGCCUUAUGAUAUUCAGAAGUUAUAUCAGUAAACUAGGGCUUCCAAAACAAAAUACCGUAGACCUGGUGCCUUAAACAACAGAAGUUGAUUUUUCUAACAUUUCUGGAGGCUGGAGGUGCAGGACCAACGUGUUAGCAGGUGUGGUUUCUUCUGAGGCUUCUCUGAUUGACUUGCUGGUAGACUGUUUGUUGCUGUGUCAUCCAUCACACUGCCCUUCCUCUGUGCCCACACAAACCCCCAGUGUCAUCUGUGUCUCCAGGUUUUCUCUUCUUUGAUCAGACUGGAUCAGGACUCACCAUAAUGGCCUCAUUUUAAUCAUGCCUUUAAAAGCUUUAUCUCCUAAAUUAGUCCUAUAUUGAAGUGCUAUGGUUAGGGCUUCAACAUAGGAGUUUGUGUGGCACACAGUUCAGCCCAUAAUAGUAAUCUAAUCAAGAAAUAAAAAGAAUAUGGAAUUUGUGUAGAAAGCACGGAUGGGAUACAAGUUCUGAAGGAAAGUUCAAAGAACCAUUUAAAUUUGAAUGAAGAAAGGUGGGUAUCAUACCUUAGAAGAUAUAUUAACUUGACAACAGCUUCCCAUGAGAAUAAGAAAAUAAGUUGAGUAGAUAAAAACUAAGAAUCUUUCAUGUUUUUAAUUUUUAGUUGCUUAUUUACAGAAACCAAUUUUGCCUGAUCUAAAUAAAUAUAUAGAAAGACCGUUUGAGUACCUAAAAGAGACAACUAGAAGGCAAGGGAUGAAGUUUAGUAUCAGGGAAUGAAUAAGGAUGACUGGAAAGAAGCCAUAACCACUACCUAGAACCAUCAGUCCAGUUCAGUUGCUCAGUCAUGUCCAACACUUUGCAACCCCAUGGACUGCAGCA
Odocoileus virginianus texanus is the source of this 2753-nucleotide non-coding RNA. Lineage: Eukaryota; Metazoa; Chordata; Mammalia; Artiodactyla; Cervidae. The record is from RefSeq and is a predicted model, not a curated record.